GAGCGUAGUCGCACUCAGUCGUGCCCGGCGCGUCGGACCGUCAAAACGCCAGCAUGCCCGAAAACGGGUUUACAGAUGGCUGAAACUGACUGCGAGUUCGAAAUAAACAUAAUCUCAUGCAAGAAUAUCUUUAAAAAAUGGAUGAAAUUAUGAAUCAAGUCUUCUGGAACGAAAUUUUUUGAAGAAUUUGCUGUUUUUCGAAUUGACAAAUUUUUGAUGAACAUGAGCAAGUUCCAACGGGAUAGAUUUUUAAGAUGCUUCCUGAUGACAUCGGUUGCUGGAUUCUACAACAUGAAAAUAAUCAAGUUCUCUUUGUAAGAAGGAAAACAAAAAGAGCUCGAAAUUAACGCAAACCGUUGGCCAAGGACGCCGUUAUUACCCUGUGAUACAGCUUUCACCGGCGAAUGAGACAAUUGAUGUUUGGAAGGGGAUUCGGAUAAUUCGCUGAUGAGGUCGUGUAUGUCCCUCCAUGACAAAUAUCGUGUCCGGGCCAGCCCACUCUCACAUAACAAUCGCCUUCGACGGAAACAUGAUCGAUUCUCUUUUUCACAAGGCUGCGUCUCGCCGGUGGAGUAUGUCGCCUUUUGUUACGAUAUGGAAUGAAACGUGUGGUUUCUAAACACUUAGAAUUAUGUGCCAAUAUAACCACAACCACUGAGACCAUUAUUCCUAAAUUUAUUUCAAUCAAUAUUCUUUGCUUGCAUAAAAGCAUAAAUAUAGUAUUAACUGGUGUUGACAAACAUUGACAUUACACAUCAUCUCAUCAAUCAAGUGAAGGGACUAUUCAAAUGUAGGUUUCAGAAA
This is a long non-coding RNA of Cimex lectularius (bed bug), 804 nucleotides long. RefSeq lists it as uncharacterized. The record is from RefSeq and is a predicted model, not a curated record. The transcript is spliced from 3 exons. Lineage: Eukaryota; Metazoa; Arthropoda; Insecta; Hemiptera; Cimicidae.